RNAcentral lists this long non-coding RNA (1288 nucleotides) under Salmo trutta (river trout). RNAcentral's name for it is "lncRNA (ENSSTUG00000040898.1)". The record is from RNAcentral. Lineage: Eukaryota; Metazoa; Chordata; Actinopteri; Salmoniformes; Salmonidae.
CAGACUUCUGGUGCCUACUGUGCUUUAUAUUGUGUAAAAUGGAUUGUCUUGUAUAUAUUAGGGAUUGUUGCAUAUAUUAGAUAGAUGGGUGGGAGACUCUGUGUAGCUUAUCUCAGAGGGGUCAGUCAUAGUCAGAAUGAAAGUGAAAAAAGAUUUGAAACAGUUACGCUGUUGCAACACUGAUGUUGUGUGAUACAGUAAGAUAAUAUAUGUAUUUUAUUGUCUGUUACAUGACUAACACAUAUUUUUUUCUCUGUUCACUCCCCUAACAGAUCUCCAAUGGAAUGCAGAGGUAAUUAUUUUAAUAGGACACAUGUUUUAAAUAAUGUUUAAGUAAUGUUUAAGGUCAGAUCUUAGGUUAGGCUAAUAGCUGUCUGGGCCGUGAUCUAAACCAAAACAUUGCUACUUUUAGUUUUAGAGUCUAUACUUGACUUUUCUCUUUUUUAUCAAUUAUUAAACAGAGGUGCCAAGGUUGAUGAAGUACUACACCAUCACCACUGGCAAUACUAUGGAUUCUCAUAUCCAGUUUAUGAGACAACUUGGAGGAGGCUUCACUGAAGUGAUGUCACCAGAGCAGAGUGAUGUCAUCAUGGCUUUCUGACCCAUCGUCUCUCGUGCUGGUACUGAUAUUGAGGCAGCACUGCAGCAGAUUCCAGGUAGCCAACCCCCAAGCUGAUAAACCUGUCAUUCUGGUAGUACUGCAUCAGACCUUCAACCCAGACUACACUGUACCUGACAGCAGCAGACUAGUGACCAGAGGUGAUGUAAUACUCACAGUGGACUGUCUCUUCCAUGAGAGACAGGGACUAUUGGAGUGUCAUCACAAUGAAGCAACAGUCACAGAGAUUUUGAAGAAGCUCAGUAAACAUCCUAAGAUAUUAAUUCAUCACCAACAUUUUGAAUUUCACUCUGCUAAUUAUGUACUAUGAGAGCUAAAGAUAAUGUUUUAAUCUUUCUUUUACAGACUGAAUCUGGAUCUGUUUGUAUGGGUCUGCUCAGGGUAUGGAAAAACAUUGCAAAUGACUGUCACGCCCUGACCUUAGAGAUCCCUUUUAUUCUCUAUUUGGUUAGGUCAGAGUGUGACUAGGGUGGGAAAUCUAUGUUUUCUAUUUCUUUGUUGGCCGGGUAUGGUUCUCAAUCAGAGGCAGCUGUCCAUCGUUGUCUCUGAUUGGGGAUCAUACUUAGGCAGCCUUUUUUCCCACCUUAGUUUGUGGGAUCUUGUUUUUGGUACUGUGCUGUAUUGCCCUACUGAACGUUACAUUUUUGUUUGUAUUUGUUUUGUUUUCGG